This 543-nucleotide ribosomal RNA is filed under the name Niphargus sp. PN1305. RNAcentral describes it as "partial 28S ribosomal RNA". The record is from RNAcentral. Lineage: Eukaryota; Metazoa; Arthropoda; Malacostraca; Amphipoda; Niphargidae.
CGUGAAACCGCUCAGAGUAUAAGCCAAUGGAGCUUGGAAGGCUUCCGCAGCCAGCAUUCAUCCUACGAGGUGUUUGUAAGACAUUGAGUGUGGCUCGUCAGGCGUAGCAUUGAGUUUGCCAGGUUAGCUGUCGUGCGGGGGUUCAGUUAAGGGGGCCGGGCCUUUGGCUUAGCUUCCCUUGCUGUUCCCUUUUGAACGGACGUUCAGAGCUCUAUUGUCUAAUGCGGUUAUGCCCACCACGGCACGUUGUGAGGUCACCCACAGGCUCAAACUGCCGAUCGCGCAUCCAGGAUGAUGGCAACGAUGCGUUGUUCAGCUUCGCGGCUGUAUCGCGUGUCUAGUCCUGGGUCGGGCGGCGACCGAGAUAAACCUGGUAUGAUCCUCUUGCGACGAGCUGCUUUCUGGCCAGACCGACGUCCAGGCGCUUCCACUGUGCCGGAAGCGUCAAAUCCCAGGCGGUGUGAACCCAGCUGCAUUAUGCAAGGUCUCUCAGCCGGGCGUUGGUCUGAGUGGUGUUAAGUCCAGCACCAUCGGUCACGUCUC